Molecule: ribosomal RNA, 549 nt
Filed under: uncultured bacterium
Lineage: Bacteria
Description: bacterial SSU rRNA
Rfam family: Bacterial small subunit ribosomal RNA
Source: RNAcentral
UGGGGAAUAUUGCACAAUGGGGGAAACCCUGAUGCAGCCAUGCCGCGUGUGUGAAGAAGGCCUUCGGGUUGUAAAGCACUUUCAGUAGGGAGGAAAGGUAAUAACUUAAUACGUUAUUGCUGUGACGUUACCUACAGAAGAAGGACCGGCUAACUCCGUGCCAGCAGCCGCGGUAAUACGGAGGGUCCGAGCGUUAAUCGGAAUUACUGGGCGUAAAGCGUGCGCAGGCGGUUUGUUAAGCGAGAUGUGAAAGCCCCGGGCUCAACCUGGGAAUUGCAUUUCGAACUGGCGAACUAGAGUCUUGUAGAGGGGGGUAGAAUUCCAGGUGUAGCGGUGAAAUGCGUAGAGAUCUGGAGGAAUACCGGUGGCGAAGGCGGCCCCCUGGACAAAGACUGACGCUCAGGCACGAAAGCGUGGGGAGCAAACAGGAUUAGAUACCCUGGUAGUCCACGCCGUAAACGAUGUCUACUCGGAGUUUGGUGUCUUGAACACUGGGCUCUCAAGCUAACCCAUUAAGUAGACCGCCUGGGGACUACGGCCGCAAGGUUA